This 481-nucleotide ribosomal RNA is filed under the name uncultured bacterium. RNAcentral's name for it is "bacterial SSU rRNA". It matches the Rfam family "Bacterial small subunit ribosomal RNA", at positions 30 to 507 of the family's 1533-position model. The record is from RNAcentral.
AUUGAACGCUGGCGGAAUGCUUUACACAUGCAAGUCGAACGGUAGAGGGGGCAACCCCUUGAGAGUGGCGAACGGGUGAGUAAUAUAUCGGAACGUGCCUAGUGGUGGGGGAUAACGUUCGGAAACGGACGCUAAUACCGCAUACGUCCUACGGGAGAAAGCGGGGGGAUCUUCGGACCUCGCGCCAUUAGAUGAGCCUAGGUCGGAUUAGCUAGUUGGUGAGGUAAUGGCUCACCAAGGCGACGAUCCGUAACUGGUCUGAGAGGAUGAUCAGUCACACUGGAACUGAGACACGGUCCAGACUCCUACGGGAGGCAGCAGUGGGGAAUAUUGGACAAUGGGCGAAAGCCUGAUCCAGCCAUGCCGCGUGUGUGAAGAAGGUCUUCGGAUUGUAAAGCACUUUAAGUUGGGAGGAAGGGCAGUAACCUAAUACGUUAUUGUUUUGACGUUACCGGCAGAAUAAGCACCGGCUAACUUCGUG